GAUGAACGCUAGCUACAGGCUUAACACAUGCAAGUCGAGGGGCAGCAUUUCAGUUUGCUUGCAAACUGGAGAUGGCGACCGGCGCACGGGUGAGUAACACGUAUCCAACCUGCCGAUAACUCGGGGAUAGCCUUUCGAAAGAAAGAUUAAUACCCGAUGGUAUAAUUAGACCGCAUGGUCUUGUUAUUAAAGAAUUUCGGUUAUCGAUGGGGAUGCGUUCCAUUAGGCAGUUGGUGAGGUAACGGCUCACCAAACCUUCGAUGGAUAGGGGUUCUGAGAGGAAGGUCCCCCACAUUGGAACUGAGACACGGUCCAAACUCCUACGGGAGGCAGCAGUGAGGAAUAUUGGUCAAUGGGCGCAGGCCUGAACCAGCCAAGUAGCGUGAAGGAUGACUGCCCUAUGGGUUGUAAACUUCUUUUAUAUGGGAAUAAAGUUUUCCACGUGUGGAAUUUUGUAUGUACCAUAUGAAUAAGGAUCGGCUAACUCCGUGCCAGCAGCCGCGGUAAUACGGAGGAUCCGAGCGUUAUCCGGAUUUAUUGGGUUUAAAGGGAGCGUAGGUGGACAGUUAAGUCAGUUGUGAAAGUUUGCGGCUCAACCGUAAAAUUGCAGUUGAUACUGGCUGUCUUGAGUACAGUAGAGGUGGGCGGAAUUCGUGGUGUAGCGGUGAAAUGCUUAGAUAUCACGAAGAACUCCGAUUGCGAAGGCAGCUCACUGGACUGCAACUGACACUGAUGCUCGAAAGUGUGGGUAUCAAACAGG
This 760-nucleotide ribosomal RNA is filed under the name uncultured bacterium. RNAcentral describes it as "bacterial SSU rRNA". It matches the Rfam family "Bacterial small subunit ribosomal RNA", at positions 28 to 776 of the family's 1533-position model. The record is from RNAcentral.